CCCGCUGAACUUAAGCAUAUCAAUAAGCGGAGGAAAAGAAACCAACAGGGAUUGCCUCAGUAACGGCGAGUGAAGCGGCAACAGCUCAAAUUUGAAAUCUGGCUCUUUUAGGGUCCGAGUUGUAAUUUGUAGAGGAUGCUUCGGCGUCGGCUCCGGUCUAAGUUCCUUGGAACAGGACGUCAUAGAGGGUGAGAAUCCCGUCUUUGACACGGACUGCCAGGGCUAUGUGAUGCGCUCUCGACGAGUCGAGUUGUUUGGGAAUGCAGCUCAAAUAGGGUGGUAAAUUCCAUCUAAAGCUAAAUACAGGCGAGAGACCGAUAGCGAACAAGUACCGUGAGGGAAAGAUGAAAAGAACUUUGGAAAGAGAGUUAAACAGUACGUGAAAUUGCUGAAAGGGAAACGCUUGAUGUCAGUCGCGUCGUCCGGGGAUCAGCCUUGCUCUUUUGCUCGGUGUAUUUCCUGGUCGACGGGUCAGCAUCGGUUUUGACCGUCGGAAAAUGGCUCGAGGAAUGUGGCACCCUUCGGGGUGUGUUAUAGACUCGGGUCGAAUACGGCGAUUGGGACCGAGGAACUCAGCACGACCUUAGGGUUCGGGGCUUCGGCCCACGUUAACGUGCUUAGGAUGCUGGCAUAAUGGCCUUAAGCGACCCGUCUUGAAACACGG
This 664-nucleotide ribosomal RNA is filed under the name uncultured fungus. RNAcentral describes it as "eukaryotic LSU rRNA". It matches the Rfam family "Eukaryotic large subunit ribosomal RNA", at positions 24 to 664 of the family's 3401-position model. Lineage: Eukaryota; Fungi. The record is from RNAcentral.